Molecule: ribosomal RNA, 1100 nt
Filed under: Enterococcus faecium
Lineage: Bacteria; Bacillati; Bacillota; Bacilli; Lactobacillales; Enterococcaceae
Description: bacterial SSU rRNA
Rfam family: Bacterial small subunit ribosomal RNA
Source: RNAcentral
UACCGUAUAACAAUCGAAACCGCAUGGUUUUGAUUUGAAAGGCGCUUUCGGGUGUCGCUGAUGGAUGGACCCGCGGUGCAUUAGCUAGUUGGUGAGGUAACGGCUCACCAAGGCCACGAUGCAUAGCCGACCUGAGAGGGUGAUCGGCCACAUUGGGACUGAGACACGGCCCAAACUCCUACGGGAGGCAGCAGUAGGGAAUCUUCGGCAAUGGACGAAAGUCUGACCGAGCAACGCCGCGUGAGUGAAGAAGGUUUUCGGAUCGUAAAACUCUGUUGUUAGAGAAGAACAAGGAUGAGAGUAACUGUUCAUCCCUUGACGGUAUCUAACCAGAAAGCCACGGCUAACUACGUGCCAGCAGCCGCGGUAAUACGUAGGUGGCAAGCGUUGUCCGGAUUUAUUGGGCGUAAAGCGAGCGCAGGCGGUUUCUUAAGUCUGAUGUGAAAGCCCCCGGCUCAACCGGGGAGGGUCAUUGGAAACUGGGAGACUUGAGUGCAGAAGAGGAGAGUGGAAUUCCAUGUGUAGCGGUGAAAUGCGUAGAUAUAUGGAGGAACACCAGUGGCGAAGGCGGCUCUCUGGUCUGUAACUGACGCUGAGGCUCGAAAGCGUGGGGAGCAAACAGGAUUAGAUACCCUGGUAGUCCACGCCGUAAACGAUGAGUGCUAAGUGUUGGAGGGUUUCCGCCCUUCAGUGCUGCAGCUAACGCAUUAAGCACUCCGCCUGGGGAGUACGACCGCAAGGUUGAAACUCAAAGGAAUUGACGGGGGCCCGCACAAGCGGUGGAGCAUGUGGUUUAAUUCGAAGCAACGCGAAGAACCUUACCAGGUCUUGACAUCCUUUGACCACUCUAGAGAUAGAGCUUCCCCUUCGGGGGCAAAGUGACAGGUGGUGCAUGGUUGUCGUCAGCUCGUGUCCUGAAAUGUUGGGUUAAGUCCCGCAACGAGCGCAACCCUUAUUGUUAGUUGCCAUCAUUCAUUUUGGCACUCUAGCAAGACUGCCGGUGACAACCCGGAGAAAGGUGGGGAUGACUUCAAUCAUCAUCCCCUUAUAACUGGGCUACCACCUGCUACAUGGGAAAUACACCAAUUUGCGAAUCCCGA